RNAcentral lists this ribosomal RNA (1361 nucleotides) under uncultured organism. Its description in RNAcentral is "bacterial SSU rRNA". It matches the Rfam family "Bacterial small subunit ribosomal RNA", at positions 42 to 1403 of the family's 1533-position model. The record is from RNAcentral.
GCAGGCCUAACACAUGCAAGUCGACGGGUAACGAUUAUGCUUGCACCAGUCGACGACCGGCGCACGGGUGAGUAACGCGUAUGCAAUCUACCUUUAAGUGGAGGAUAGGGCGAAGAAAUUCGGAUUAAUACUCCAUAGAAUUACAAUAUCGCCUGAUAUUGUACUUAAAGCAUUAGCGGUUAAAGAUGAGCAUGCGUGCCAUUAGUUAGUUGGUGAGGUAACGGCUCACCAAUGCAUCGAUGGCUAGGGGUUCUGAGAGGAUGAUCCCCCACACUGGUACUGAGACACGGACCAGACUCCGUGCGGGAGGCAGCAGUGAGGAAUAUUGGUCAAUGGGCGCAAGCCUGAACCAGUCAUGCCGCGUGCAGGAAGACUGCCCUAUGGGUUGUAAACUGCUUUUCUACAGGAAGAAACUUUGCGACGAGUCGUGAAUUGCCGGUACUGUAGGAAUAAGCAUCGGCUAACUCCGUGCCAGCAGCCGCGGUAAUACGGAGGAUGCAAGCGUUAUCCGGAUUCAUUGGGUUUAAAGGGUGCGUAGGCGGAAUAGUAAGUCAGUGGUGAAAGGCUGCAGCUUAACUGUAGAAUUGCCUUUGAUACUGUUAUUCUUGAGUGUAGUUGAGGUAGGCGGAAUGUGUAAUGUAGCGGUGAAAUGCUUAGAUAUUACACAGAACACCGAUUGCGUAGGCAGCUUACUAAACUAUAACUGACGCUGAGGCACGAGAGCGUGGGGAGCGAACAGGAUUAGAUACCCUGGUAGUCCACGCUGUAGACGAUGAUCGCUCGUUGUUGGGCAUAAAUCGUCAGGGACUGAGCGAAAGCAUUAAGUGAUCCAACUGGGGAGUACGUUGGCGACGAUGAAACUCAAAGGAAUUGACGGGGGCCCGCACAAUCGGUGGAACAUGUGGUUUAAUUCGAUGAUACGCGAGGAACCUUACCUGGGCUUAAAUGUAGACUGCAUGUGGUGGAAACAUCACUUUCCUUCGGGACCGUCUACAAGGUGCUGCAUGGUUGUCGUCAGCUCGUGCCGUGAGGUGUCGGGUUAAGUCCCAUAACGAGCGCAACCCCUAUUGUUAGUUGCUAACAGGUAAUGCUGAGGACUCUAGCGAAACUGCCGGUGUAAACCGAGAGGAAGGUGGGGAUGACGUCAAAUCAGCACGGCCCUUAUGUCCAGGGCUACACACGUGUUACAAUGGUUGGUACAGAGGGCAGCUACCGGGCGACCGGAUGCUAAUCUCGAAAGCCAAUCUUAGUUCGGAUCGGAGUCUGCAACUCGACUUCGUGAAGCUGGAAUCGCUAGUAAUCGCGCAUCACCCACGGCGCGGUGAUACGUUCCCGGGCCUGCACACACCGCCCGUCAAGCC